AUUGAACGCUGGCGGCAUGCCUUACACAUGCAAGUCGAACGGCAGCACGGGUGCUUGCACCUGGUGGCGAGUUGCGAACGGGUGAGUAAUACAUCGGAACAUGUCCUGUAGUGGGGGAUAGCCCGGCGAACGCCGGAUUAAUACCGCAUACGAUCUACGGAUGAAAGCGGGGGACCUUCGGGCCUCGCGCUCUUGGGUUGGCCGAUGGCUGAUUAGCCAGUUGGUGGGGUAAAGGCCUACCAAGGCGACGAUCAGUAGCUGGUCUGAGAGGACGACCAGCCACACUGGGACUGAGACACGGCCCAGACUCCUACGGGAGGCAGCAGUGGGGAAUUUUGGACAAUGGGCGAAAGCCUGAUCCAGCAAUGCCGCGUGUGUGAAGAAGGCCUUCGGGUUGUAAAGCACUUUUGUCCGGAAAGAAAUCCUUGGCCCUAAUACGGUCGGGGGAUGACGGUACCGGAAGAAUAAGCACCGGCUAACUACGUG
RNAcentral lists this ribosomal RNA (486 nucleotides) under uncultured bacterium. RNAcentral's name for it is "partial 16S ribosomal RNA". It matches the Rfam family "Bacterial small subunit ribosomal RNA", at positions 30 to 507 of the family's 1533-position model. The record is from RNAcentral.